This is a long non-coding RNA of Olea europaea var. sylvestris, 2130 nucleotides long. RefSeq lists it as uncharacterized. The record is from RefSeq and is a predicted model, not a curated record. The transcript is spliced from 3 exons. NCBI's taxonomy places the organism in Eukaryota, Viridiplantae, Streptophyta, Magnoliopsida, Lamiales, Oleaceae.
CCUCAAUUUUCGAACUAUAUGAAGUCUAAAGCCAAUAUUUAUGUUGGGUGUGGUUUAAUUUUUUCUGGGUUUUCAUUUUUGUAUUUUGUACUGUUAAGGAUUUUUUGAAUUUAGAGGUUUGAGCUGUGAUUCACUUGCGUAACUUUGUGACUAAGCUUUUGUUUUAUAUUAUUGUUCGGAGAUUUACACUUCUAUUGUUACUCGUUCAAUUUUUUCUACUCGUUUUGUUUAAAUUUUUCCUGCAUGCUCGAUUUGUUCGUUGUGCUUAAAAAUUAAUCAAUUUCAAGCCUGAAUCUUUCGAUUUCUCUAUUUUGUUUUGUUCAAAAAUUUUCUGUUUGCUUGAUUUUCGCUGUGUUUAAGGUUAAGCAAUUUUAGUUGAGAUUUUCUUUUCGUUCUUCAUUUUCCGUCUCUUCUUGUGUAUGUUUGUUCCAUUUCUUCUACGUUUAUCUAUAUUUGCUCGAUUACUUCUUUGUGAUUAUGGUUUAUCAAUUUUGACACUGACUUUUUGUUAUAUUUAGUUAUGUCCUCUUAUUUUGUGUCUUUUUUCUGUUUCUUUUAUCUCUAUUUGCUUGAUUACUUCUUCUCUGUGUUUAAGGUGUAAUAAUUUCCAGUCAGAUUUUAUGGUUGAAAGAAGGUAUUAUUGCAAGGAUGCAAAUGAAUUAGAACUUAGUAUUUAUUAUUUUUUGUGUAACAUUGUUUGCUUAUUUACUACUCUUGAAAAUUUCGUGACUUAUUUGACAUGGUUCAAUUAUAAUCCAACUGAAAAGUUUCCCUUACGUCCAUUAGUGUACAAUUAGAUAGUUAUUUACCUUUUAUUUUUUGCUCUUUUUUGUAAGAUGGCACUAUAGCUAACAUUGAAUUCAUACAAUUGGGAGUAUUAGUAGAAAGAAUUCCUUUUGUUGCCUAUAUUACCACUUCAUUGGCACUCUACAUAAUUCUUUCUUUUGUUGCUUGUGUUAGUUUAACAUUAGCAAAGGACCUCCAUUGACAAAAAAAAAAAAACAUAGGGAAAUUUGUUAUAUUACCAAACUAUUAGUAAAUUGUGGUUACUUCUAGCUUGAAGUCGUUAUGACAUGAAUUAGAUUGUGCCUGAGUAUUCUUAAAUGUUCCUUUUCUCGAAACUAAGUCAAGGCUCGAGUUUUAAUGGUAAAAUAAGUAAUUUACUUUGUGAAAAGAGCAAGUUGAAUAAUAAAAGAAGUAAUUACAUGUUUGGCAAAUAAAUAACUAUGUGACUAUCUAGCACACAUAUACUUGAAGUCGUUACCACAUAUGUACUUAACCAUAUGUUCAAUGUCAAGGGUUGCCUACUGGUUCGUCAAUCUUUCUUUGACAAUAAUUUGAGGAACUUCACUAACGUUGGAGGAGGAGUUCUUGGAUGUCGAGGAUUCCACUCGAGUUUUCGAACCUCCCAUGUACGCUUGUCUUUGAACAUAGGGGGGAAAAAAAAGAAAGAAAGAAAGAACAAGAACACAUUUGCAAUUAUUCAAGAUAUGUUGAUUUGUCAUGGUGGCACUAUUACAAAUAUGUGCAGUAACUCGAUCAUUCAAGUUGAAUAUGGAGUUAACAUUGCCAAUAUUACAAAUAAUUUUACCAUUGGUGACCGUGAGAGAGUUUUAGUUCCAAUUACCAUUCACAUCAUGCAUACAAAACUGUUGUUGAUUUUUACUGGAGUACUAACUCUUCUUAGGAGAUUAUGAAGGGUCAAUUCCAAAAAUUAUACAUCUCACAAAUGAAUAAUACCACAUGUAAUUGAUUGUAGCUGUGUGAGAAAGCACCGCCAUGAGAAGUUUGCAAGCAUGGAAGAUUUAGUUGACAAAAUUCGGUCUUAAGAUGCAUCAGUCUUGGCAUAGGCUCGUCCUUCUGGAUCAACGCUGUAGUAUGCUGUUUAGUCAAAGUUUCCUUACUCUGGUUCAGUCAAAGUUUCCUUACUCUGGCUUCCUGGUAUAUAUGUGUAUUUACAUCUAUAUAUGUCUCAGGUGAGAGUUUUGGAUUUUUGAGUAUGAAUUUGUUGAAGUUAUUGCUAUAUUGUAGAGGAAUCAGAAAAUCCUUGUAUACAUCUAUUGCUGAACAAAGCAUAAGAUAUAUUUUUUUCACGUACCAUAAUCUCAUGAUCGAUGAUAUUACUUGAGA